Molecule: long non-coding RNA, 661 nt
Filed under: Androctonus crassicauda
Lineage: Eukaryota; Metazoa; Arthropoda; Arachnida; Scorpiones; Buthidae
Source: RNAcentral
GGAUAUGAACUGGAGCAAUAAAGGAUUUUCUGAAAAUCCUUGUAGAAUAAAAGUCACAUUUUUCUUAAUCCAUAUGUCCAAGAAGUGUACUUGCUUGUUGUCAUUUUGUUCCAACUCCAAUGUGAUUCCAUAAUUAUCAUCAUUGACAACAUUAAUGAACUCCUGGAUGGGCUACUGUUUAUUGAGGAUAAGUAAGAUGUCAUCAACAUAGCAGGCAUUAAUGUUUUCCAAUACAACUUCUUCAGUUUUCUUAGCUAUAAUCUCUGCUAAGAAACCUGCGAGGGGGGAACCCAUUGUGUGGAGGUAGAGAAUUCCAGGAGAAAUUAUCUACCUUUUGAUUUUGAAAGAUGUACAACCCCUGUACUGCCGUUAGCGACAAAUUCAAGUGUCCCAAAAAAAAGAGAAAACCGCACCCAGUGUAUUGUCACGACACUAAGGAAAUAUAGGAACAGACACAAGCAUGCCUUUAAACAUCAAAGUCCAAAAUAUUAGCACAAAAAGCAGUGGAAAUCAUAAACUUUUAUUAAACGAAAACGUUUUCAGUACAAAUCAUCAUCAUCAAUCAACAGUACAUGCCUUUAGAUAUAUGUAUUUAAAUUCCAAAUACAAUUGGGACAUAAAACUAAUACUAUACACAUAUAGGUACAAUUUACACCGUAAA